This 497-nucleotide ribosomal RNA is filed under the name uncultured bacterium. RNAcentral describes it as "partial 16S ribosomal RNA". It matches the Rfam family "Bacterial small subunit ribosomal RNA", at positions 28 to 507 of the family's 1533-position model. The record is from RNAcentral.
GAUGAACGCUGGCGGCGUGCCUAAUACAUGCAAGUCGAGCGAACGGACGAGAAGCUUGCUUUUCUGAUGUUAGCGGCGGACGGGUGAGUAACACGUGGAUAACCUACCUAUAAGACUGGGAUAACUUCGGGAAACCGGAGCUAAUACCGGAUAAUAUUUUGAACCGCAUGGUUCAAAAGUGAAAGACGGUCUUGCUGUCACUUAUAGAUGGAUCCGCGCUGCAUUAGCUAGUUGGUAAGGUAACGGCUUACCAAGGCAACGAUGCAUAGCCGACCUGAGAGGGUGAUCGGCCACACUGGAACUGAGACACGGUCCAGACUCCUACGGGAGGCAGCAGUAGGGAAUCUUCCGCAAUGGGCGAAAGCCUGACGGAGAAACGCCGCGUGAGUGAUGAAGGUCUUCGGAUCGUAAAACUCUGUUAUUAGGGAAGAACAUAUGUGUAAGUAACUGUGCACAUCUUGACGGUACCUAAUCAGAAAGCCACGGCUAACUACGUG